AUUAAAGGUAGAAAUAGAUACAAAAUGUAUGGUGGAGUUCCGGAGGAUAGGUGGGCGUCUCCUCUAGGAAAGAAGACGACCUAUAAAAUGCCUAUCUUGGGAUGGACCUCCAUAACGAGGCGAGUAUGGGCCGCCUCUGAUAAGCCCGUCUUCUCCUCGGUUGUUCGGACCCGUUAGGUCUUCAGACCACCGAACUAGGAGAAGGUCACUCCGAUAAAAAACCAAACAAAAUAGAUAAUGGGCAACAUCAAAACGAUCUCAGUGGGAUCGGAUACCACGGACCGGCAGCGGAGUGUUCGAGGUCCUGACACAUCGCGAUCAUCAUCAAGCAAGGGACUACGACCCAUGGCAUCUGUCACGAGCGCGAUAUCAAUGUUUGAAUUGAUGAUAAAAAUUAUGCGGUAUUUAUGGAAUGCAGUGCUCAAAUUAUUGCAUGCAAUUGAAGACCGAUUGUUACUCUGAAACACCAGAUGCGCGAGGAGCGGAGGCAGAAGCGGCAAGAGCAGCAGGUCUUCCGCGGUCAGAUCGAGACCCGUUUUCUGGAGCGAGAGGCAGCUCUGAAGCAUUUGAAGGAACGGAUCGGCCGCACACAGCUAAGUCGUUCUGAUAAUAUUUCCGCGAACAAAAUUCCGACGCGCGAUGUGGCGCGAGCAAAUUUUCCGAACGUCUUAAUUAACGCGAGGAAAUCGAGCGUCGAUCGGUUUGAGAGUUAAAUCCGACAGUAGUGUGAAAACGGUGGCAUUGGCGCGUUCAGUUUUGGAUGGGUUGAACGCGGAAAAUGGUGAAUUAACGUUUUCGGAAAUUAAAUCCGAAUUAGAAUUGCGUUUCGGCGAGAGCGAGCUCGCGCAAAGUUUUUAUUUACAAUUUACGAAUCGUCUCCAGUGAAAGAUUACGCGACGUUGAAUGCUCUCAAAACGUGCGGGAUAAAAUCGCGUGCUCGCAGUUCGUUGCACCGAUGUGAACCCCUGGCGCCCAACAUUGUUAAAAAAAAAAAGAACUAUGUAGUUCGAUUGUACUUCGUUUGUACCCGUUUGUACCUCUAUUAAAAUCGUUUAUAACUCAAAAAGUUAAAAAAUACCAGGGGGUAAUAAAAUGGUCAGCGCCCAACUAUAAAUUUUUUUAAUUCUGCUUAUGCCAUUCGAAAGAGAAUCGUUUGUACCCGUUUGUACCUCCGUUAAAAUCGUUUAUACCUCAAAGGGACCGGAAGUAUAGGCUUUUCAAACGAUAACGCGGGUGUCGUGUUCGGAAACAGAAGAAAAAAAAACGUAUCUUGAUUGAUCUCGGCAAGAAGGGAUCUACUUUUGUUUAAAAAAAGAGGGGAUAAAUUUGAUUUUCUUUUAAAAAGUUGUUGUUGUCUGUUUUGUAAUAUUUUACAGAAUUUGUUGCGGUUAAUUUGGAAACGCUCAGGCUGAAAAUUGACGUGGGAAGCAGAAGAAAAAAAAACAUUUAAAGAAGACCGUCUCGCUCACGGUUUUCGACCGUGGUUUUCCGUGAGACUAUGGGCGAAUGCCGAGACGGGGACAAGGGUACCCUUUCAGGGCGUAAGGAGUCCACGGGAAGUUACCUCCCCCUUGUCCGAAGAACAAGGAAGAAGAGCGCAAGACCCGGUGUGGAAAAGGAAGAAGACUCGAUGGGAAAGGAGCACGGGGACGGAAAGAAGGAUACUCGUGACAUAUCAUUGUAUCUGACGUCCAAAUUUAAUCGUUUUACAUUUUUUGAAAUAUUUGUCUUUUUUUGCGCUAUUUCGUCAUACGUGCGUAACAAUAAAGAUUAAAUUUCGUA
RNAcentral lists this unclassified non-coding RNA (1782 nucleotides) under Monomorium pharaonis (pharaoh ant). Its description in RNAcentral is "uncharacterized LOC105827759, transcript variant X1". The record is from RNAcentral. Lineage: Eukaryota; Metazoa; Arthropoda; Insecta; Hymenoptera; Formicidae.